This 230-nucleotide ribosomal RNA is filed under the name uncultured eukaryote. RNAcentral's name for it is "partial 18S ribosomal RNA". It matches the Rfam family "Eukaryotic small subunit ribosomal RNA", at positions 1208 to 1456 of the family's 1831-position model. The record is from RNAcentral.
GGGAAACUCACCAGGUCCAGACAUAAUAAGGAUUGACAGAUUGAUAGCUCUUUCUUGAUUUUAUGGGUGGUGGUGCAUGGCCGUUCUUAGUUCGUGGGGUGACUUGUCUGCUUAAUUGCGCUAACGAACGAGACCUUAACCUGCUAAAUAGAGCCACCUAUCUUCGGAUAAGUGUCGUUCUUCUUAGAGGGACUUUAUGUGUUAUAGCAUGAGGAAGUUUGAGGCUAAAA